Molecule: ribosomal RNA, 465 nt
Filed under: Vreelandella stevensii
Lineage: Bacteria; Pseudomonadati; Pseudomonadota; Gammaproteobacteria; Oceanospirillales; Halomonadaceae
Description: partial 16S ribosomal RNA
Rfam family: Bacterial small subunit ribosomal RNA
Source: RNAcentral
CCUACGGGGGGCUGCAGUGGGGAAUAUUGGACAAUGGGGGCAACCCUGAUCCAGCCAUGCCGCGUGUGUGAAGAAGGCCCUCGGGUUGUAAAGCACUUUCAGUGAGGAAGAACGCCUGGUGGUUAAUACCCAUCAGGAAAGACAUCACUCACAGAAGAAGCACCGGCUAACUCCGUGCCAGCAGCCGCGGUAAUACGAAGGGUGCGAGCGUUAAUCGGAAUUACUGGGCGUAAAGCGCGCGUAGGUGGCUUGAUAAGCCGGUUGUGAAAGCCCCGGGCUCAACCUGGGAACGGCAUCCGGAACUGUCAAGCUAGAGUGCAGGAGAGGAAGGUAGAAUUCCCGGUGUAGCGGUGAAAUGCGUAGAGAUCGGGAGGAAUACCAGUGGCGAAGGCGGCCUUCUGGACUGACACUGACGCUGAGGUGCGAAAGCGUGGGUAGCAAACAGGAUUAGAUACCCUAGUAGUC